RNAcentral lists this ribosomal RNA (528 nucleotides) under Scrippsiella trochoidea. Its description in RNAcentral is "partial Bacterial large subunit ribosomal RNA". It matches the Rfam family "Bacterial large subunit ribosomal RNA", at positions 35 to 621 of the family's 2925-position model. The record is from RNAcentral. Lineage: Eukaryota; Dinophyceae; Peridiniales; Peridiniaceae.
GGCAGUUAGAGGCGAUGAAGGACGUGUAAGUCUGCGAAAAGCUGUGGUGAGCCGACAAAAUGCAUUUGAGCCACAGAUGUCCGAAUGGGGAAACCCACCUGUUUACAGGUAUCGUUAACUGAAUACAUAGGUUAACGAGGCAAACGAGGGGAACUGAAACAUCUAAGUACCCGGAGGAAAAGAAAUCAACCGAGAUUCCCUUAGUAGCGGCGAGCGAACGGGUAACAGCCGAUGGUUUAUGUUGUAGUGGAAUCUUCUGGGAAGUUGAGCGAUACAGGGUGAUAGCCCCGUACACGAAAGCGAGCCCAAGUGAAAUCGAGUAGGUCGGGACACGUGUUAUCUUGACUGAAUAUGGGGGGACCAUCCUCCAAGGCUAAAUACUCCUAACUGACCGAUAGUGAACCAGUACCGUGAGGGAAAGGCGAAAAGAACCCCUGUGAGGGGAGUGAAAUAGAUCCUGAAACCGUAUACGUACAAGCAGUGGGAGCAGACUUGUUCUGUGACUGCGUACCUUUUGUAUAAUGGGUC